GAUGAACGCUGGCGGCGUGCCUAAUACAUGCAAGUCGAGCGAACAGACGAGGAGCUUGCUCCUCUGACGUUAGCGGCGGACGGGUGAGUAACACGUGGAUAACCUACCUAUAAGACUGGGAUAACUUCGGGAAACCGGAGCUAAUACCGGAUAAUAUAUUGAACCGCAUUGUUCAAUAGUGAAAGACGGUUUUGCUGUCACUUAUAGAUGGAUCCGCGCCGCAUUAGCUAGUUGGUAAGGUAACGGCUUACCAAGGCAACGAUGCGUAGCCGACCUGAGAGGGUGAUCGGCCACACUGGAGCUGAGACACGGUCCAGACGCCUACGGGAGGCAGCAGUAGGGAAUCUUCCGCAAUGGGCGAAAGCCUGACGGAGCAACGCCGCGUGAGUGAUGAAGGUCUUCGGAUCGUAAAACUCUGUUAUUAGGGAAGAACAAAUGUGUAAGUAACUAUGCACGUCUUGACGGUACCUAAUCAGAAAGCCACGGCUAACUACGUG
Molecule: ribosomal RNA, 497 nt
Filed under: uncultured bacterium
Lineage: Bacteria
Description: partial 16S ribosomal RNA
Rfam family: Bacterial small subunit ribosomal RNA
Source: RNAcentral